Molecule: ribosomal RNA, 492 nt
Filed under: uncultured bacterium
Lineage: Bacteria
Description: partial 16S ribosomal RNA
Rfam family: Bacterial small subunit ribosomal RNA
Source: RNAcentral
GAUGAACGCUAGCUACAGGCUUAACACAUGCAAGUCGAGGGGAAACGGCAUUGAGUGCUUGCACUCUUUGGACGUCGACCGGCGCACGGGUGAGUAACGCGUAUCCAACCUUCCCAUUACUGUGGGAUAACCUGCCGAAAGGCAGACUAAUACCGCAUAGUCUUCGAUGACGGCAUCAGAUUUGAAGUAAAGAUUUAUCGGUAAUGGAUGGGGAUGCGUCUGAUUAGCUUGUUGGCGGGGUAACGGCCCACCAAGGCUACGAUCAGUAGGGGUUCUGAGAGGAAGGUCCCCCACAUUGGAACUGAGACACGGUCCAAACUCCUACGGGAGGCAGCAGUGAGGAAUAUUGGUCAAUGGACGGAAGUCUGAACCAGCCAAGUAGCGUGCAGGAUGACGGCCCUAUGGGUCGUAAACUGCUUUUGUAUGGGGAUAAAGUUAGGGACGUGUCCCUAUUUGCAGGUACCAUACGAAUAAGGACCGGCUAAUUCCGUG